CCGAGACAUAGAUAAAGCUGAAAAUGUAAGGAGCCUUCAUUUGAAUACACUACUGCUUCGAGGUAACAGUGCUGUUUAAGGAUGUCUUGCCACCGAGUCUGGGUUUUGCUUCUCUUGGCGGUCUUGGCACUGAAUUUUGUUGAGAAUGAGGCAGCAGCCUUCCCCUGGUCCUGCCCCACUCUGAGUGGAGUUUGUAGGAAAGUCUGUCUACCGACAGAAAUGUUCUUCGGGCCUCUGGGCUGUGGGAAAGAAUUCCAGUGCUGUGUGUCUCAUUUCUUUUAAGGGCACGUUGAGGCUGUCAUGAGGACUCUGCAAUGACACCAUCUUGGACCGGAGGGCUGGAUAUUUACAUCCACACUCUGCGAAGCAAUGGACUUAUCUUACGUCACAUUUAAAUCUAUGCAAGCCUUUUCUUAUAGAAUUUACAUCUUGAACUCUUUGCACGUUGAAGUGUUUGAUUAAAGUGUUUUGAUCUGCUUGAAA
This is a long non-coding RNA of Gadus morhua (Atlantic cod), 483 nucleotides long. RefSeq lists it as uncharacterized. NCBI's taxonomy places the organism in Eukaryota, Metazoa, Chordata, Actinopteri, Gadiformes, Gadidae. The transcript is spliced from 3 exons. The record is from RefSeq and is a predicted model, not a curated record.